UACGGGGGGAGGCAAGCGUUGUUCGGAUUUACGUGGGCGUAAAGGGCGCGUAGGCGGUCGUGACAAGUCGACUUGUGAAAUCAUCCGGGCUUAACUCGGAACGGUCAAGUGAUACUGAUCGGACUAGAGUACAGAAGGGGCAACUGGAAUUCUCGGUGUAGCGGUAGAAAUGCGUAGAUAUCGAGAGGAACACCUGCGGCGAAGGCGGGUUGCUGGGCGUGAUGACUGACGCUGAGGCGCGAAAGACCAGGGGAGCGAACGGG
This 263-nucleotide ribosomal RNA is filed under the name uncultured bacterium. RNAcentral describes it as "partial 16S ribosomal RNA". It matches the Rfam family "Bacterial small subunit ribosomal RNA", at positions 524 to 776 of the family's 1533-position model. The record is from RNAcentral.